This 489-nucleotide ribosomal RNA is filed under the name Gemella haemolysans. Its description in RNAcentral is "bacterial SSU rRNA". It matches the Rfam family "Bacterial small subunit ribosomal RNA", at positions 28 to 497 of the family's 1533-position model. The record is from RNAcentral. Lineage: Bacteria; Bacillati; Bacillota; Bacilli; Caryophanales; Gemellaceae.
GACGAACGCUGGCGGCGUGCCUAAUACAUGCAAGUCGAGCGAAGUUUUUCUGGUGCUUGCACCGGAAAAACUUAGCGGCGAACGGGUGAGUAACACGUAAAGAACCUGCCUCAUAGACUGGGACAACUAUUGGAAACGAUAGCUAAUACCGGAUAACAGCAUUAACUGCAUGGUUGAUGUUUAAAAGUUGGUUUUGCUAACACUAUGAGAUGGCUUUGCGGUGCAUUAGCUAGUUGGUGGGGUAAAGGCCUACCAAGGCGACGAUGCAUAGCCGACCUGAGAGGGUGAUCGGCCACACUGGGACUGAGACACGGCCCAGACUCCUACGGGAGGCAGCAGUAGGGAAUCUUCCGCAAUGGGCGAAAGCCUGACGGAGCAACGCCGCGUGAGUGAAGAAGGAUUUCGGUUCGUAAAGCUCUGUUGUUAGGGAAGAAUGAUUGUGUAGUAACUAUACACAGUAGAGACGGUACCUAACCAGAAAGCCACGCA